RNAcentral lists this ribosomal RNA (316 nucleotides) under uncultured Chloroflexota bacterium. RNAcentral describes it as "bacterial SSU rRNA". It matches the Rfam family "Bacterial small subunit ribosomal RNA", at positions 28 to 351 of the family's 1533-position model. The record is from RNAcentral. Lineage: Bacteria; Bacillati; Chloroflexota.
GAUAAACGCUGGCGGCGUGCUUUAUGCAUGUAAGUCGUACGGUUUCGAUUUAUCGGAAUAGUGGCGAAUGGGUGAGUAACGCGUAAGUAACUUGCCCCUAAGUAGGGGAUAACUCCGGGAAACCGGGGCUAAUACCGUAUGUGGUGAUAAGGGUAAUGCUUUAUCACUAAAGCCUUCGGGCGCUUGGGGAGAGGCUUGCGUCCGAUUAGCUAGUUGGUAGGGUAACGGUCUACCAAGGCGGUGAUCGGUAGCUGGUCUGAGAGGAUGGUCAGCCACACUGGGACUGAGACACGGCCCAGACACCUACGGGAGGCAG